RNAcentral lists this ribosomal RNA (451 nucleotides) under Melomys burtoni (grassland melomys). RNAcentral describes it as "partial 16S ribosomal RNA". It matches the Rfam family "Bacterial large subunit ribosomal RNA", at positions 1928 to 2556 of the family's 2925-position model. Lineage: Eukaryota; Metazoa; Chordata; Mammalia; Rodentia; Muridae. The record is from RNAcentral.
CGGCCGCGGUAUCCUGACCGUGCAAAGGUAGCAUAAUCACUUGUUCCCUAAUUAGGGACUAGAAUGAAUGGCCAAACGAGAAUUCAACUGUCUCUUAUUUUUUAUCAGUGAAAUUGACCUUUCAGUGAAGAGGCUGAAAUACUAAAAUAAGACGAGAAGACCCUAUGGAGCUUAAAUUAAAAGUUUAAUUUUACUAUUAUUAACCUAAUGGUUUAACACAAAAAUUUUAAACUCUAAAUUUCGGUUGGGGUGACCUCGGAGAACAAAAAAUCCUCCGAAUGAUUCUAACAUAGACCAACAAGUCAAAGUAACCCAAAGAUCUCAUUGACCCAAAAAUUUUUUGAUCAACGGACCAAGUUACCCUAGGGAUAACAGCGCAAUCCUAUUUUAGAGUCCAUAUCGACAAUAGGGUUUACGACCUCGAUGUUGGAUCAGGACAUCCCAAUGGCGC